RNAcentral lists this transfer RNA (74 nucleotides) under Neotoma lepida (desert woodrat). It matches the Rfam family "tRNA". Rfam says of the family: Transfer RNA (tRNA) molecules are approximately 80 nucleotides in length. Their secondary structure includes four short double-helical elements and three loops (D, anti-codon, and T loops). The record is from Rfam by way of RNAcentral. Lineage: Eukaryota; Metazoa; Chordata; Mammalia; Rodentia; Cricetidae.
UAAUGUGUAGCUGAGUUACUUAGAGUGCUUGCCUAGAAUGCAAGAGACUCUGGGUUCUAUCCUCAGCACUGUAU